GAUGAACGCUGGCGGCGUGCCUAAUACAUGCAAGUCGAGCGAACAGACGAGGAGCUUGCUCCUCUGACGUUAGCGGCGGACGGGUGAGUAACACGUGGAUAACCUACCUAUAAGACUGGGAUAACUUCGGGAAACCGGAGCUAAUACCGGAUAAUAUAUUGAACCGCAUGGUUCAAUAGUGAAAUACGGUUUUGCUGUCACUUAUAGAUGGAUCCGCGCCGCAUUAGCUAGUUGGUAAGGUAACGGCUUACCAAGGCAACGAUGCGUAGCCGACCUGAGAGGGUGAUCGGCCACACUGGAACUUGGACACGGUCCAGACUCCUACGGGAGGCAGCAGUAGGGAAUCUUCCGCAGUGGGCGAAAGCCUGACGGAGCAACGCCGCGUGAGUGAUGAAGGUCUUCGGAUCGUAAAACUCUGUUAUUAGGGAAGAACAAAUGUGUACGUAACUAUGCACGUCUUGACGGUACCUAAUCAGAAAGCCACGGCUAACUACGUG
This 497-nucleotide ribosomal RNA is filed under the name uncultured bacterium. RNAcentral's name for it is "partial 16S ribosomal RNA". It matches the Rfam family "Bacterial small subunit ribosomal RNA", at positions 28 to 507 of the family's 1533-position model. The record is from RNAcentral.